This is an RNA transcript of Neodiprion virginianus, 2341 nucleotides long. It is a transcript of the gene named putative DENN domain-containing protein 10 B, with no coding region annotated. The transcript is spliced from 6 exons. Lineage: Eukaryota; Metazoa; Arthropoda; Insecta; Hymenoptera; Diprionidae. The record is from RefSeq and is a predicted model, not a curated record.
GAACAAGAUGGCGCCAGCAAUGGAGCUGCUUUCCUGCGGCAUAAUCGAAAAGGAUUGCAACGGUGAUGUUCUGUGGACUUGGAACUACCCCGACGUUACAGAAUCGCAAAAAGUUUUGGUGCUCAGAAAAUCUUCCCUACAAUCUGAGCACAAUGAUAUUUUACCCUUCGUUUAUGCCAGACACUCUCACAACUCCUGGUUUUAUAUUCAAUGCACCGAAGUUUCCGACUCCGAUAAUUUACCCAGGGUAAAACAGUUUGCGCUUGUUUUAUUCGCGACAGAUUUCAAUCCACCAAAAUACGAGGCACUGUGUCGUGUCUUGAGCAAAAUGUACUGUAGGACUGGAAGUCCAAUAGAGUUGCUGCAGCUCUAUUUAUCCGUAUUCACCAAAGGCUCUUGCGCAACUCAGGAUAACGGAACGUUUGUUUGCAAUGAAUACAGCGAUCGAAAAGUUGCCAGUAACAGCACCAACCUCAGAGGCUUGAUAAAGACUUUUGAGCUGAAGACGAUUCUUAUAUACACAGCGAUAUUGCUGAAGAAACGGAUAAUAGUCUACCACCACAGCCUUGAACAGCUUCUUAGAUGGAUACGGACCUUCCCUGCUUUUAUGAAACACAGAAAUGUUACCGAAUAUUUAUUUCCAUGGGUCGACCUGGUUAAAGAUGAGAUACUGGAGCUUAAGGGUCAUUCUUCGUAUAUCGCAGGGUGCACGGAUAGUCUAGUCGCUUCACGGGCUGAGCUUUACGAUCUACUCGUGAAUUUACCUGCAAGAGAAAUCACUAUUGCGUCACAUGCAAAAGAAAGUCUAACGAUGACGAAGACACACAAGGAAAUAGCCUUGUUCAUGGUCCAGCUCGGAGAUAAUCCAUCUUACUCGGAGGUGCAAAUAACAUCAGAGAUCUCAGAUAAAACACAAGAUCUUUUGAAUCAGUUAAAAUCGUUGGCAAGUUUAACAACGCCUGAAGGUAGAAAAAUGGUAUCCAUCGAAACGUUUAAAGAGAAAAACUUAGCCCCUGCAGUCGAGAACUUUCUCAUCAAUUUAGCAAUCGCCGAAAACCUAAUCAUGCUGUGAUCUCUUACACACACAAAAUAUGUUCUUAUUUUGUUCCGAGUCCUCUUACAAGUAGAGGUUUCCAUUGGAAUAAGAAUUCUUCAUCGCUCACCUCCAUCUUCGGCGACCACGAGGAGGGGCUCGGCUUCGUUCAGGAUAUGCUUAACUCUGGGAGCUGGAAACCCUGGAUCCAACGGAAGGUAAGCCAUUCCGGCCUUCAACGUAGCCAGCAAGAGAGUCGGAAGACGAUCCGUAGGCUGCAUUGAAAUUGCUACGAGGGCAUCGAGGCUGCUGGAUCGACGACAGCGUUUUGCUAGGACCCGUGACAGCUGAUUGGUUCGCGCUUCGAGCUGACUGUAAGUCAAACUUCUGUCCUUGCCAAACUCGUCUGUAAAACGAGAUUGAAAGCUUAAUCGCAACGUUCUUUUUCACUCGUUUCGUCCGUCAACGCAAAUUAUUAUUUCUCAAUUAACUAUCUCACUUUAUAGACCACACAGCUAAAUUAUCAAAAAUAUUUGAACAUGGUUUUCUCAUGAAUUUCAUCGCCCAGAAUUCCUCUUGUAUCCUAGAAUUUUUUCAAUUCUGACACGGUGAGAUAUUUCAGCGACGACAAUUUACAAAAGGGUGAACGAAAAUUUACCUUCGUAGACAAUUGCUGUGUGAUUCAGAUUGUUGGCCGCCACUUGGGAGAAUAUUUUAUGAACGAAUACUUCCUCGUUCUUUCGGCCUGUGUUUUCUCCUUUGAGAACUGACAACUGUUUCAGCGAACCCAUCUGUGAAUACGAAAACAAAACAAGGGAUGAAAAUAUUUCUUAUAACGUAUAACAGAAAUACUCGGGAGAUUUUUGUCACAAUGCAACAAAUUUGAUGGAUUUUUUUGAAAAAUACAGACAGAUAUUUAAUUGAAAGAAAAAAUGGGAGAAAAACUUUUCAGGAAAAUGAGGAAAGAAAGCUUUCAUACUAGAAAAAUUUGUUACAGAAGUUCCAGGAAUAUAUUGCCAACUCGAGUGCAAAGCGUUGAGCAAUUUUAUAUAUAAAUCCUUGGGUAUAAUUAGCACAGAGAUAUCCUUACUGAUAAUUUCAGGAAAAUAAUAAAUAUAUACCGAUAAAAUGGUGUUACAAUGAUUGCAUAAUAGUAUAUUUCUUGCGCGUAUCGCAAUCGAAAUUAGUUAACAACACGUCUCGUAAAAAGUAAGGAAUAUACGAUGUAAAUAUUGCAUCUAUCUACUUUCAAUACACACUUGUAAGUAUAACCAUUGAUGUGCAAAGAAAAAAAAAAAAACACUGCGA